This 443-nucleotide non-coding RNA is filed under the name Monodelphis domestica (gray short-tailed opossum). RNAcentral describes it as "Eukaryotic large subunit ribosomal RNA". It matches the Rfam family "Eukaryotic large subunit ribosomal RNA", at positions 2553 to 2796 of the family's 3401-position model. The record is from Rfam by way of RNAcentral. Lineage: Eukaryota; Metazoa; Chordata; Mammalia; Didelphimorphia; Didelphidae.
ACUUUUUCUUGGUGUCUAGUGUGAGAUGUCGGUCUUUUAUCGAAUUUCUGCCAAACUGCUUUCCAAUUUUCUCAUCAAUUACUAGUGGGGCAUUUUCUUGUACACUUAUCUGUCUUGUCCAGUGCUCCCACUCCACUUACAAGGGCCAUACCAACCCUUAACAUGACCCAGCUACCUAUUAUUUCAAAGAAAUCCAUUUAUACCAGCCUGGCUUCAGGGGCAGAGGCAGUCUUGUGACCCACUACGGGGACAGUAUCAGGUGGGGAGUUUGACUGGGGCAGUACACCUGUCAAACCGUAAUGCAAGUGUCCUAAGGCGAGCUCAGGGAGGACAGAAACCUCCCAUGGAGCAGAAGGGCAAAAGCUCGCUUGAUCUCGAUUUUCAGUAUGAAUACAGACCGUGAAAGUGGGGCCUCAUGAUCCUUCUGACCUUUGGGUCAGAAG